This 281-nucleotide ribosomal RNA is filed under the name uncultured bacterium. Its description in RNAcentral is "partial 16S ribosomal RNA". It matches the Rfam family "Bacterial small subunit ribosomal RNA", at positions 28 to 300 of the family's 1533-position model. The record is from RNAcentral.
GAUGAACGCUAGCGGCAGGCUUAAUACAUGCAAGUCGAGGGGCAGCAGCUCUGUAGCAAUACAGAGGCUGGCGACCGGCAAACGGGUGCGGAACACGUACACAACCUUCCUUUAAGUGGGGAAUAGCCCGGGGAAACCCGGAUUAAUACCCCGUAACAUUAUGAAGUGGCAUCACUUUAUAAUUAUAGCUCAGGCGCUUAAUGAGUGGGUGUGCGGCUGAUUAGAUAGGUUGGCGGGGUAACGGCCCACCAAGUCUGCGAUCAGUAACUGGUGUGAGAGCA